This 465-nucleotide ribosomal RNA is filed under the name uncultured bacterium. Its description in RNAcentral is "partial 16S ribosomal RNA". It matches the Rfam family "Bacterial small subunit ribosomal RNA", at positions 338 to 795 of the family's 1533-position model. The record is from RNAcentral.
CCUACGGGAGGCAGCAGUAGGGAAUCUUCCACAAUGGGCGAAAGCCUGAUGCAGCAACGCCGCGUGGGUGAAGAAGGUCCUCGGAUUGUAAAACUCUGUUGUUAGAGAAGUAAGCGCGUGAGAGUAACUGUUCAUGUUUCGACGGUAUCUAACCAGAAAGCCACGGCUAACUACGUGCAAGCAGCUGCGGCAAUACGUAGGUGGCAAGCGUUAUUCGGAUUUAUUGGGCGUAAAGGGAACGCAGGCGGUCUUUUAAGUCUGAUGUGAAAGGCUUCGGCUUAACCGGAGUAGUGCAUUGGAAACUGGGGGGCGUGAAUGCAGAAGAGGAAGGUGGAACUCCAGGUGUAGCGGUGAAAUGCGUAGAUAUAUGGAAGAACACCGGUGGCGAAAGCGGCUCACUGGUCUGUUACUGACGCUGAGGUUCGAAAGCGUGGGUAGCAAACAGGAUUAGAUACCCCAGUAGUC